Molecule: ribosomal RNA, 386 nt
Filed under: uncultured bacterium
Lineage: Bacteria
Description: bacterial SSU rRNA
Rfam family: Bacterial small subunit ribosomal RNA
Source: RNAcentral
GACGAACGCUGGCGGCGUGCUUAACACAUGCAAGUCGAGCGGUAAGGCCCUUUCGGGGGUACACGAGCGGCGAACGGGUGAGUAACACGUGGGUGACCUGCCCUUAGCUCUGGGAUAAGCCUGGGAAACUGGGUCUAAUACCGGAUAUGACUCCAUGACGCAUGUUGUGGGGUGGAAAGCCUUGUGCGGCUAGGGAUGGGCCCGCGGCUUAUCAGCUUGUUGGUGGGGUGAUGGCCUACCAAGGCGACGACGGGUAGCCGGCCUGAGAGGGCGACCGGCCACACUGGGACUGAGACACGGCCCAGACUCCUACGGGAGGCAGCAGUGGGGAAUCUUGCGCAAUGGGCGAAAGCCUGACGCAGCGACGCCGCGUGGGGAUGACGGCC